This 497-nucleotide ribosomal RNA is filed under the name uncultured bacterium. Its description in RNAcentral is "partial 16S ribosomal RNA". It matches the Rfam family "Bacterial small subunit ribosomal RNA", at positions 28 to 507 of the family's 1533-position model. The record is from RNAcentral.
GAUGAACGCUGGCGGCGUGCCUAAUACAUGCAAGUCGAGCGAACAGACGAGGAGCUUACUCCUCUGACGUUAGCGGCGGACGGGUGAGUAACACGUGGAUAACCUACCUAUAAGACUGGGAUAACUCCGGGAAACCGGAGCUAAUACCGGAUAACAUGUUGAACCGCAUGGUUCAACAGUGAAAGACGGUCUUGCUGUCACUUAUAGAUGGAUCCGCGUCGCAUUAGCUAGUUGGUAAGGUAACGGCUUACCAAGGCAACGAUGCGUAGCCGACCUGAGAGGGUGAUCGGCCACACUGGAACUGAGACACGGUCCAGACUCCUACGGGAGGCAGCAGUAGGGAAUCUUCCGCAAUGGGCGAAAGCCUGACGGAGCAACGCCGCGUGAGUGAAGAAGGUCUUCGGAUCGUAAAACUCUGUUAUUAGGGAAGAACAAAUGUGUAAGUAACUAUGCACGCCUUGACGGUACCUAAUCAGAAAGCCACGGCUAACUACGUG